UCAUGCUUUUUGGAGCGGCCGAUGUCUGAUUAGCUAGUUGGUAGGGUAAAGGCCUACCAAGGCGACGAUCAGUAGCUGGUCUGAGAGGACGACCAGCCACACUGGAACUGAGACACGGUCCAGACUCCUACGGGAGGCAGCAGUGGGGAAUUUUGGACAAUGGGCGCAAGCCUGAUCCAGCAAUGCCGCGUGAGUGAAGAAGGCCUUCGGGUUGUAAAGCUCUUUUGUCAGGGAAGAAACGGCUCCGGCUAAUAUCUGGAGCUAAUGACGGUACCUGAAGAAUAAGCACCGGCUAACUACGUGCCAGCAGCCGCGGUAAUACGUAGGGUGCAAGCGUUAAUCGGAAUUACUGGGCGUAAAGCGUGCGCAGGCGGUUUUGUAAGUCUGUCGUGAAAGCCCCGGGCUCAACCUGGGAAUUGCGAUGGAGACUGCAAGGCUUGAAUCUGGCAGAGGGGGGUAGAAUUCCACGUGUAGCAGUGAAAUGCGUAGAGAUGUGGAGGAACACCGAUGGCGAAGGCAGCCCCCUGGGUCAAGAUUGACGCUCAUGCACGAAAGCGUGGGGAGCAAACAGGAUUAGAUACCCUGGUAGUCCACGCCCUAAACGAUGUCUACUAGUUGUCGGGUUUUAAUUAACUUGGUAACGCAGCUAACGCGUGAAGUAGACCGCCUGGGGAGUACGGUCGCAAGAUUAAAACUCAAAGGAAUUGACGGGGACCCGCACAAGCGGUGGAUGAUGUGGAUUAAUUCGAUGCAACGCGAAAAACCUUACCUACCCUUGACAUGGAAGGAAUCCUGAAGAGAUUUGGGAGUGCCCGAAAGGGAACCUUCACACAGGUGCUGCAUGGCU
RNAcentral lists this ribosomal RNA (847 nucleotides) under Massilia sp. Its description in RNAcentral is "bacterial SSU rRNA". It matches the Rfam family "Bacterial small subunit ribosomal RNA", at positions 211 to 1050 of the family's 1533-position model. The record is from RNAcentral. Lineage: Bacteria; Pseudomonadati; Pseudomonadota; Betaproteobacteria; Burkholderiales; Oxalobacteraceae.